AGCAUGUGAUGGCUCAGGCUGAAGA
Molecule: non-coding RNA, 25 nt
Filed under: Cricetulus griseus (Chinese hamster)
Lineage: Eukaryota; Metazoa; Chordata; Mammalia; Rodentia; Cricetidae
Source: RNAcentral